UUGCACGCUGGCGGCCUGCUUUACCCAUGCAAGUCGCACGGCAGCGCGGGCUUCGGCCUGGCGGCGAGUGGCGAACGGGUGAGUAAUGCAUCGGAACGUGCCCAGUAGUGGGGGAUAGCCCGGCGAAAGCCGGAUUAAUACCGCAUACGACCUGAGGGUGAAAGCGGGGGACCGAAAGGCCUCGCGCUAUUGGAGCGGCCGAUGUCGGAUUAGCUAGUUGGUGGGGUAAAGGCUUACCAAGGCGACGAUCCGUAGCUGGUCUGAGAGGACGACCAGCCACACUGGGACUGAGACACGGCCCAGACUCCUACGGGAGGCAGCAGUGGGGAAUUUUGGACAAUGGGGGCAACCCUGAUCCAGCCAUGCCGCGUGCGGGAAGAAGGCCUUCGGGUUGUAAACCGCUUUUGUUCGGGAAGAAAUCCUCUGGGCUAAUACCCCGGGGGGAUGACGGUACCGGAAGAAUAAGCACCGGCUAACUACGUG
RNAcentral lists this ribosomal RNA (483 nucleotides) under uncultured bacterium. Its description in RNAcentral is "partial 16S ribosomal RNA". It matches the Rfam family "Bacterial small subunit ribosomal RNA", at positions 29 to 507 of the family's 1533-position model. The record is from RNAcentral.